UACACGACCGUACCGCAAACCGACACUGGUGCGCGAGAUGAGUAUUCUAAGGCGCUUGAGAGAACUCAGGAGAAGGAACUCGGCAAAUUGCCACCGUAACUUCGGAAGAAGGUGUGCCUUUAGUAGGUGAACCUGUACAAGGGGAGCCCAAUGAGGUUGCAAAAAAUCGGUGGCUGCGACUGUUUAAUAAAAACACAGCACUCUGCAAACACGAAAGUGGACGUAUAGGGUGUGACGCCUGCCCGGUGCUGGAAGAUUAAAUGAUGGGGUGCAAGCUCUUGAUUGAAGUCCCAGUAAACGGCGGCCGUAACAAUAACGGUCCUAAGGUAGCGAAAUUCCUUGUCGGGUAAGUUCCGACCUGCACGAAUGGCGUAACGAUGGCCACACUGUCUCCUCCUGAGACUCAGCGAAGUUGAAAUGUUUGUGAUGAUGCAAUCUCCCCGCGGAAAGACGGAAAGACCCCAUGAACCUUUACUGUAGCUUUGUAUUGGACUUUGAACAGAUCUGUGUAGGAUAGGUGGGAGGCUUUGAAGUGUGGUCGCUAGAUCGCAUGGAGCCAACGUUGAAAUACCACCCUGGUGUGUUUGAGGUUCUAACCUAGGCCCGUAAUCCGGGUCGGGGACAGUGCAUGGUAGGCAGUUUGACUGGGGCGGUCUCCUCCCAAAGCGUAACGGAGGAGUUCGAAGGUACGCUAGGUACGGUCGGACAUCGUGCUAAUAGUGCAAUGGCAUAAGCGUGCUUAACUGCGAGACUGACAAGUCGAGCAGAUGCGAAAGCAGGACAUAGUGAUCCGGUGGUUCUGUAUGGAAGGGCCAUCGCUCAACGGAUAAAAGGUACUCUGGGGAUAACAGGCUGAUACCGCCCAAGAGUUCAUAUCGACGGCGGUGUUUGGCACCUCGAUGUCGGCUCAUCUCAUCCUGGGGCUGUAGCCGGUCCCAAGGGUAUGGCUGUUCGCCAUUUAAAGAGGUACGUGAGCUGGGUUUAAAACGUCGUGAGACAGUUUGGUCCCUAUCUUCCGUGGGCGCUGCAGAUUUGAGGAAGCCUGCUCCUAGUACGAGAGGACCGGAGUGGACACACCUCUGGUGUAUCGGUUGUCACGCCAGUGGCAUUGCCGAGUAGCUAUGUGUGGAAGAGAUAACCGCUGAAAGCAUCUAAGCGGGAAACUCGUUUCAAGAUGAGAUCUGCCGGGGCCUUGAGCCCCCUAAAGAGUCGUUCAGACCAGGACGUUGAUAGGUCGGGUGUGGAAGCGCAGUAAUGCGUUAAGCUAACCGAUACUAAUUGCUCGUGCGGCUUGAUC
RNAcentral lists this ribosomal RNA (1297 nucleotides) under metagenome. RNAcentral's name for it is "bacterial LSU rRNA". It matches the Rfam family "Bacterial large subunit ribosomal RNA", at positions 1635 to 2925 of the family's 2925-position model. The record is from RNAcentral.